AACGGCCGCGGUAUCCUAACCGUGCAAAGGUAGCAUAAUCAUUUGCCUAUUAAUUGUAGGCUAGAAUGAAUGGGUUAACGAAAUAAAGACUGUCUCAAUUAAUCACCUAAAAAUUACUAUCUAUCUGAAGAAGGGUAGAUAACCUCGAAGGACAAGAAGACCCUAUAGAGCUUAAUUUUAAUUAUAGAGCUACACUAUAAAAAUAUUCGGUUGGGGCGACCCAGGGCUAAUUAAUCACCCACUAACUAAAAGAUAAAUUAAUCAAGUAAUUGACCCCUAAAAGAUCAUAAGAACAAGCUACCUUAGGGAUAACAGGCUAAUCCCACUCAAGAGUCCUUAUCAACAGUGGGGUUUGGCACCUCGAUGUUGGCUUAGG
This 376-nucleotide ribosomal RNA is filed under the name Metaphire sieboldi (earthworm). RNAcentral's name for it is "partial 16S ribosomal RNA". It matches the Rfam family "Bacterial large subunit ribosomal RNA", at positions 1926 to 2541 of the family's 2925-position model. Lineage: Eukaryota; Metazoa; Annelida; Clitellata; Crassiclitellata; Megascolecidae. The record is from RNAcentral.